GAGAUAAAUAAAAUAGAAUUUCUAAUUCUAAAUAAAAUAUUUAGUUAUUUUUAUCUCU
RNAcentral lists this transfer RNA (58 nucleotides) under Platencyrtus parkeri. Its description in RNAcentral is "tRNA-Ser". Lineage: Eukaryota; Metazoa; Arthropoda; Insecta; Hymenoptera; Encyrtidae. The record is from RNAcentral.